UUUUGGGGUUAUGCUUUAGAGACGACCGCAUUCACGUUAAAUAGGGCGCCAUCAAAAUCCGUUGAGACGACGCCUUAUGAACUAUGGUUUGGCAAGAAACCAAAGUUGUCGUUUCUUAAAGCUUGGGGCUGCGAUGCUUAUGUGAAGAAACUUCAACCAGAUAAGCUCGAACCCAAAUCGGAGAAAUGUGUCUUCAUAGGAUACCCAAAAGAGACUAUUGGGUACACCUUCUAUCACAGAUCUGAGGGCAAGAUUUUUGUUGCUAAAUUCGGAUCCUUUCUAGAGAAGGAGUUUCUCUCGAAAGAAGUGAGUGGGAGGAAAGUAGAACUUGAUGAGGUAACUGUACCUGCUCCCUUAUUGGAAGGUAGUUCAUCACAAGAACCGGUUCCUGUGACAACUACACCAAUC
RNAcentral lists this ribosomal RNA (408 nucleotides) under Triticum aestivum (bread wheat). Its description in RNAcentral is "partial small subunit ribosomal RNA". The record is from RNAcentral. Lineage: Eukaryota; Viridiplantae; Streptophyta; Magnoliopsida; Poales; Poaceae.